This 499-nucleotide ribosomal RNA is filed under the name uncultured bacterium. RNAcentral describes it as "partial 16S ribosomal RNA". It matches the Rfam family "Bacterial small subunit ribosomal RNA", at positions 28 to 507 of the family's 1533-position model. The record is from RNAcentral.
GACGAACGCUGGCGGCGUGCCUAAUACAUGCAAGUCGAGCGAAGUUUUUCUGGUGCUUGCACUAGAAAAACUUAGCGGCGAACGGGUGAGUAACACGUAAAGAACCUGCCUCAUAGACUGGGACAACUAUUGGAAACGAUAGCUAAUACCGGAUAACAGCAUUAACUGCAUGGUUGAUGUUUAAAAGUUGGUUUUGCUAACACUAUGAGAUGGCUUUGCGGUGCAUUAGCUAGUUGGUGGGGUAAAGGCCUACCAAGGCGACGAUGCAUAGCCGACCUGAGAGGGUGAUCGGCCACACUGGGACUGAGACACGGCCCAGACUCCUACGGGAGGCAGCAGUAGGGAAUCUUCCGCAAUGGGCGAAAGCCUGACGGAGCAACGCCGCGUGAGUGAAGAAGGAUUUCGGUUCGUAAAGCUCUGUUGUUAGGGAAGAAUGAUUGUGUAGUAACUAUACACAGUAGAGACGGUACCUAACCAGAAAGCCACGGCUAGCUACGUG